UACGGGGGGAGCAAGCGUUGUUCGGAUUUACUGGGCGUAAAGGGCGCGUAGGCGGUCAGCACAAGUCAGUUGUGAAAUCUCCGGGCUUAACUCGGAAAGGUCAACUGAUACUGUGCGACUAGAGUGCGGAAGGGGCAACUGGAAUUCUCGGUGUAGCGGUGAAAUGCGUAGAUAUCGAGAGGAACACCUGCGGCGAAGGCGGGUUGCUGGGCCGACACUGACGCUGAUGCGCGAAAGCCAGGGAGCGAACAGG
This 253-nucleotide ribosomal RNA is filed under the name uncultured bacterium. RNAcentral describes it as "partial 16S ribosomal RNA". It matches the Rfam family "Bacterial small subunit ribosomal RNA", at positions 524 to 776 of the family's 1533-position model. The record is from RNAcentral.